GUGGGCACCAUGUCCUUGAAGAUUCAGGCAAGCAAUGUAACCAACAAGAAUGAUCCCAAGUCCAUCAACUCUCGAGUCUUCAUUGGAAACCUCAACACAGCUCUGGUGAAGAAAUCAGAUGUGGAGACCAUCUUCUCUAAACAUCAACAUGGCUGGAGAGCCUAAGCCUGACAGACCCAAGGGGCUAAAGAGAGCAGCAUCUGCCAUAUACAGGCUCUUCGACUACCGGGGCCGUCUGUCGCCCGUGCCAGUGCCCAGGGCGGUCCCUGUGAAGCGACCCCGGGUCACAGUCCCUUUGGUCCGGCGUGUCAAAACUAACGUACCUGUCAAGCUCUUUGCCCGCUCCACAGCCAUCACCACCAGCUCAGCCAAGAUCAAGUUAAAGAGCAGUGAGCUGCAGGCCAUCAAGACGGAGCUGACACAGAUCAAGUCCAAUAUCGAUGCCCUGCUGAGCCGCUUGGAGCAGAUCGCUGCAGAGCAAAAGGCCAAUCCAGAUGGCAAGAAGAAGGGUGA
RNAcentral lists this small RNA (513 nucleotides) under Pongo abelii (Sumatran orangutan). Its description in RNAcentral is "processed transcript". The record is from RNAcentral. Lineage: Eukaryota; Metazoa; Chordata; Mammalia; Primates; Hominidae.